GGCGGAUGUAGCCAAGUGGAUUAAGGCGGU
This 30-nucleotide transfer RNA is filed under the name Convolvulus arvensis. Its description in RNAcentral is "partial tRNA-His". Lineage: Eukaryota; Viridiplantae; Streptophyta; Magnoliopsida; Solanales; Convolvulaceae. RNAcentral also lists the same sequence under 3 other names. The record is from RNAcentral.